AUUGAACGCUGGCGGCAGGCUUAACACAUGCAAGUCGAGCGGAGUGAUGGUGCUUGCACUAUCACUUAGCGGCGGACGGGUGAGUAAUGCUUAGGAAUCUGCCUGUUAGUGGGGGACAACAUCUCGAAAGGGAUGCUAAUACCGCAUACGUCCUACGGGAGAAAGCAGGGGAUCACUUGUGACCUUGCACUAAUAGAUGAGCCUAAGUCGGAUUAGCUAGUUGGUGGGGUAAAGGCCUACCAAGGCGACGAUCUGUAGCGGGUCUGAGAGGAUGAUCCGCCACACUGGGACUGAGACACGGCCCAGACUCCUACGGGAGGCAGCAGUGGGGAAUAUUGGACAAUGGGGGGAACCCUGAUCCAGCCAUGCCGCGUGUGUGAAGAAGGCCUUAUGGUUGUAAAGCACUUUAAGCGAGGAGGAGGCUCUUUUGGUUAAUACCCAAGAUGAGUGGACGUUACUCGCAGAAUAAGCACCGGCUAACUCUGUGCCAGCCGCCGCAGUAA
This 503-nucleotide ribosomal RNA is filed under the name uncultured bacterium. RNAcentral describes it as "partial 16S ribosomal RNA". It matches the Rfam family "Bacterial small subunit ribosomal RNA", at positions 30 to 523 of the family's 1533-position model. The record is from RNAcentral.